CAUAGGUGUUAGCAGGAUCAAGGCCAAAGACUGGAGAACUAGAAAGUGCAAACUCCUUCAGUUAAUCGAUGCCUUUUGGAAAUCAAGACUAUUAGUUACUCAAGAAGAUUAACUACAAACUACAGCGUGGAUGGCAAGUAUAUAAAACAGGAGAUGGGCAAGGAAGUGACACCAUGCUGCCCUAAAGCCAAAUCCUCUGCCCAGAGUGCAUCCCAAGUAAAUCAGGAUGGUGCUGAGAUCAGCCAUCCUCCACAGGAAAAUAUGCAUGCUGAAAUUCAAAUGUAUAAGAAGUCUUCAUGCAACAACCUAGGAAAUAUGUACUGGUGAAGUAAGGAAGGCAAACAGAGAGGCGAAAAUGUUCACAUGCAACACAAAAUAGUUGGUCCCCAACCAAAAUUAAAAAUUAUCCUUUAUUUUCCAAAAUAUUAACAAUAGUAAUAAAUUUGAGUCACCUUAAAGACAAAAGGAAAAUAGAUCUUGUCUUACUGUCCUGAAGAUAUCAGCAUCUAUAAGAGAAUAAGUAAAUGGGAUUUCCUCAUAUGCAUGACUUGAAAGAGCUAUACACCAGAUUAAAGAAAAUAUGGUCAAUGACCAAGAUACUCUUACCCAUUGAUUAGAAUAUACUAUGAACAAACUGUACUAUUAAAAGGAUAUUUAAUAGAGUGAGGGCUUAAGGGUUCAUUGACCUUCUGCUGGU
Long non-coding RNA from Mauremys reevesii (Reeves's turtle), 697 nucleotides. RefSeq lists it as uncharacterized. Lineage: Eukaryota; Metazoa; Chordata; Testudines; Geoemydidae. The transcript has 3 exons. The record is from RefSeq and is a predicted model, not a curated record.